Molecule: transfer RNA, 85 nt
Filed under: Felis catus (domestic cat)
Lineage: Eukaryota; Metazoa; Chordata; Mammalia; Carnivora; Felidae
Rfam family: tRNA
About the family: Transfer RNA (tRNA) molecules are approximately 80 nucleotides in length. Their secondary structure includes four short double-helical elements and three loops (D, anti-codon, and T loops).
Source: Rfam by way of RNAcentral
GCCUGGGUGGCUCAGUUGGUUAAGCGUCUGACUUCAGCUCAGCUCGUGAUCUCAAGGUUUGUGGGUUCGAACUCCAUGUCAGGCU